UAAGAUUGGCGUGGUGCCCAUGACAUC
RNAcentral lists this non-coding RNA (27 nucleotides) under Homo sapiens (human). The record is from RNAcentral. Lineage: Eukaryota; Metazoa; Chordata; Mammalia; Primates; Hominidae.